GACGAACGCUGGCGGCGCGCCUAACACAUGCAAGUCGAACGAGCGAGAGAGAGCUUGCUUUCUCAAGCGAGUGGCGAACGGGUGAGUAACGCGUGAGGAACCUGCCUCAAAGAGGGGGACAACAGUUGGAAACGACUGCUAAUACCGCAUAAGCCCACGGGUCGGCAUCGACCAGAGGGAAAAGGAGCAAUCCGCUUUGAGAUGGCCUCGCGUCCGAUUAGCUAGUUGGUGAGGUAAUGGCCCACCAAGGCGACGAUCGGUAGCCGGACUGAGAGGUUGAACGGCCACAUUGGGACUGAGACACGGCCCAGACUCCUACGGGAGGCAGCAGUGGGGAAUAUUGCACAAUGGGGGAAACCCUGAUGCAGCGACGCCGCGUGGAGGAAGAAGGUCUUCGGAUUGUAAACUCCUGUUGUUGAGGAAGAUAAUGACGGUACUCAACAAGGAAGUGACGGCUAACUACGUGCCAGCAGCCGCGGUAAAACGUAGGUCACAAGCGUUGUCCGGAAUUACUGGGUGUAAAGGGAGCGCAGGCGGGAAGACAAGUUGGAAGUGAAAUCUAUGGGCUCAACCCAUAAACUGCUUUCAAAACUGUUUUUCUUGAGUAGUGCAGAGGUAGGCGGAAUUCCCGGUGUGGCGGUGGAAUGCGUAGAUAUCGGGAGGAACACCAGUGGCGAAGGCGGCCUACUGGGCACCAACUGACGCUGAGGCUCGAAAGUGUGGGUAGCAAACAAGAUUAGAUACCCUGGUAGUCCACACCGUAA
Molecule: ribosomal RNA, 764 nt
Filed under: uncultured bacterium
Lineage: Bacteria
Description: bacterial SSU rRNA
Rfam family: Bacterial small subunit ribosomal RNA
Source: RNAcentral